CACACACACACACACACACACACUGACGCUAUCAAACUGCACUAAGGAGGUGAAGAUUGCUGUUUUGUGAACUCUUCAUUUUUUAAAGAAGGGCAAUAUGAAGCUGAUUUACUUUGCCGUGUUACUGUUGGCCAUGCAAUGGACAGUCGUCGGGGUGACAGGAGGGAAUGGACAUGAAACAACAACAUACAUCACUUAUACAGCCUCAGACAAAGAACUGCAGUCCACAGUGGAUGUUAAACCACAGGUUGCAUGCCCACCAUGUGUGACCACCAGAAACACCUUCGAAAAAAAGAAAAUUCCAUGGUCAGUUAGAUAUUUGGGAAAGAAAACGAAGAAGGGACUUCGGAGAACACAGAUGAACCUGAGGAG
This is a long non-coding RNA of Clarias gariepinus (North African catfish), 372 nucleotides long. RefSeq lists it as uncharacterized. The transcript has 3 exons. The record is from RefSeq and is a predicted model, not a curated record. Lineage: Eukaryota; Metazoa; Chordata; Actinopteri; Siluriformes; Clariidae.